Small nuclear RNA from Suncus etruscus (white-toothed pygmy shrew), 105 nucleotides. Lineage: Eukaryota; Metazoa; Chordata; Mammalia; Eulipotyphla; Soricidae. The record is from RefSeq and is a predicted model, not a curated record.
GUGUUCGCUUCAGCAGCACAUAUACUAAAAAAUUGGAACGAUACAGAGAAGAUUAGCAUGGCCCCUGAGCAAGAUGCAAAUUACUUUGUUUGACCUCAUAUUUCU